RNAcentral lists this ribosomal RNA (678 nucleotides) under Triticum aestivum (bread wheat). Its description in RNAcentral is "partial small subunit ribosomal RNA". Lineage: Eukaryota; Viridiplantae; Streptophyta; Magnoliopsida; Poales; Poaceae. The record is from RNAcentral.
AUGCUUAAGGGGAAAAAGAUUGAUGCAUUUUUCAAAAGAAAGAGAGGUGAUUCAGUUGAUGAACCAACAGCAACCGAAGCAAUGCCUAUUCAGCCAACGGACUGUGUUCAACCUCCUCUGUUGUUGCUCGAAUUUGAGCAACACGGACCACAUCCUUCAAUGCCUCAACACCAAGGACAAAGCCAUCAAACUCAAACAAAUGAAGUACUAUUUCAAGGGAUUGAAUUCUUGCAGCGAGAUCCAGCACUACGUCCACAGAUUUGGCAAUAUCCACCUAAUCAAAGAGAUGAUGUGCGGCGAGCAUAUUUGAAGCUUGGUAUUAUGCAGCCCCGUUUGCAGAAUUACAAAGCCUAUGGUCCAGAAGGUCGCAAACGAUGCUUUAAGUAUGACUGGUUCAAGGAUUUCCCAUCAUGGUUGGAGUACUCGGAGGACAGUCAUCGUGCAUAUUGCUUCUAUUGUUUCUUGUUCGGCAAAAACAAAAACAAGAGAGAUGGUUCAGAUGUCUUUACAGUGCGAGGAUUUGUAAACUGGAAGAAGGUCCAUGAUGGAAAGAAAUGUGCUUUCUUAAACCACAUAGGUUCUGAACCUUGCUCUGAACAUAAUAAUGCAACCAAAGCAUGCCAUGACUUCUUGAAUCAGCAAGGCCAUUUAGAAAAUGUUGUAGCAGUGGGCAACUAG